AGGAUUUGCUGAGCACCUACUAUGCAUCAGACGCUGUGUUCUAGGCAAGGGGGAUACACCUGAUGGAAGAAGGUCCUUCCCUAGACGUAGCUAACAUCCCAGUGUGGGAGAUGACACGAAACAAGUAUGGUGGAAAUGAUGUCACGCCCACUCCAGGCCUAACCUCUAGGAGGACUGGCAGUUUCUGCUAUGGCCUCUGGGAGCCAUGAGCUGCCAUGAAAAAGGUCAAACUACUCUGCUGGAGACACCCACCUGGAGAAGCCCUGGGAUUCCAUGGAGAGGCAGACGGACCCAGCUGAGCUCAGUGUUCCAGCCAUCCCCACGAAAGCACCAGGAACCUGAGUGAAACCAUCUCGAUCCUCCAGCAUAGCACAAUCAGCAGCUGAAGAUCACUGAGUGACUCUAGUCGGCGCUCCAUGGAUCACUGAAGGAUCACCCAGCUGAGCCCUGCGCAAAUUUCUGACUCACAAAACUGUAGACGAUACAAUGGUUGUUGUUUGGGGGCAGUUUGUUAUGCUGUAGCAAUAAAUAGCCAGAAGAGACCAAGAGGCAGAAGUUGUUUGCUGAAAAUAAUGCAAAAAUUAUACCAGCCCUUGCCCAGCUACCUCCGGAUUUCUUGCUACAUGAAAAAAAAAAAAAAAAUCCCUAUUUGUUUAAGCCUCGUUGACACCUUGGGCUAUUGCUCAGUCCUCAGUUUUCCAUUUGUUAAAUGGAGCAUUAGCUCCUGUCUUACUACUUCCCAAAGGUGCCUGAGAGGGUAGAGUAAGAAUGAAGAAGAGAAGGCCUUUUUCAUGUAAUAUAAACAGUGCUUAUGUUCCCAAAGAUCAGCGAGUGACAUGCUCAAACAGUUAUAAUAUAUUUAAUGUGGUCAUAAUGGGAGUGAACUUGUCAUGAACCAAUUGCAAUGGAUUUUGGAAUCAGACACGUUAGGGCUUGAGGCUCUCAGCUCUGCUAGACAAACUUCUAACUUGACAAAUAGGCCAGUCAUUAAAUCUCUCCAAGCCUUAGUUCCCUCAUCAAUAAAGCACAGACGAUGUGA
RNAcentral lists this long non-coding RNA (1039 nucleotides) under Homo sapiens (human). RNAcentral describes it as "HSALNT0399177". The record is from RNAcentral. Lineage: Eukaryota; Metazoa; Chordata; Mammalia; Primates; Hominidae.